GACGAACGCUGGCGGCGUGCUUAACACAUGCAAGUCGAGCGGUAAGGCCCUUUCAGGGGUACACGAGCGGCGAACGGGUGAGUAACACGUGGGUGACCUGCCCUCAGCUCUGGGAUAAGCCUGGGAAACCGGGUCUAAUACUGGAUAUGACUCCAUGACGCAUGUUGUGGGGUGGAAAGCCUUGUGCGGCUGAGGAUGGGCCCGNGGCCUAUCAGCUUGUUGUGGGGUGAUGGCCUACCAAGGCGACGACGGGUAGCCGGCCUGAGAGGGCG
This 272-nucleotide ribosomal RNA is filed under the name uncultured bacterium. Its description in RNAcentral is "partial 16S ribosomal RNA". It matches the Rfam family "Bacterial small subunit ribosomal RNA", at positions 28 to 302 of the family's 1533-position model. The record is from RNAcentral.